This 84-nucleotide transfer RNA is filed under the name Fidelibacterota bacterium. RNAcentral's name for it is "tRNA-Leu". It matches the Rfam family "tRNA". From Rfam's summary of the family: Transfer RNA (tRNA) molecules are approximately 80 nucleotides in length. Their secondary structure includes four short double-helical elements and three loops (D, anti-codon, and T loops). The record is from RNAcentral. Lineage: Bacteria; Pseudomonadati; Fidelibacterota.
GCCGGGAUGGCGGAAUUGGUAGACGCGCCUGACUCAAAAUCAGGUGAUGGCAACAUCGUGUGGGUUCAAGUCCCUCUCCCGGCA